GACGAACGCUGGCGGCGUGCUUAACACAUGCAAGUCGAACGGUGAACGAGGGAGCUUGCUCCCUCCGGAUCAGUGGCGAACGGUUGAGUAACACGUGAGCAAUCUGCCCCGAACUCUGGGAUAAGCGUUGGAAACGACGUCUAAUACCGGAUACGACGCGGGAGGGCAUCCUCUCCGCGUGGAAAGAACUUCGGUUCGGGAUGAGCUCGCGGCCUAUCAGCUUGUUGGUGAGGUAACGGCUCACCAAGGCGACGACGGGUAGCCGGCCUGAGAGGGUGACCGGCCACACUGGGACUGAGACACGGCCCAGACUCCUACGGGAGGCAGCAGUGGGGAAUAUUGCACAAUGGGCGCAAGCCUGAUGCAGCAACGCCGCGUGAGGGACGACGGCCUUCGGGUUGUAAACCUCUUUUAGCAGGGAAGAAGCGAAAGUGACGGUACCUGCAGAAAAAGCACCGGCUAACUACGUG
RNAcentral lists this ribosomal RNA (470 nucleotides) under uncultured bacterium. Its description in RNAcentral is "partial 16S ribosomal RNA". It matches the Rfam family "Bacterial small subunit ribosomal RNA", at positions 28 to 507 of the family's 1533-position model. The record is from RNAcentral.